GGGGGAUAUUGCACAAUGGGGGAAACCCUGAUGCAGCGACGCCGCGUGGAGGAAGAAGGUUUUCGGAUUGUAAACUCCUGUCGUUAGGGACGAUAAUGACGGUACCUAACAAGAAAGCACCGGCUAACUACGUGCCAGCAGCCGCGGUAAAACGUAGGGUGCAAGCGUUGUCCGGAAUUACUGGGUGUAAAGGGAGCGCAGGCGGACCGGCAAGUUGGAAGUGAAAACUAUGGGCUCAACCCAUAAAUUGCUUUCAAAACUGCUGGCCUUGAGUAGUGCAGAGGUAGGUGGAAUUCCCGGUGUAGCGGUGGAAUGCGUAGAUAUCGGGAGGAACACCAGUGGCGAAGGCGACCUACUGGGCACCAACUGACGCUGAGGCUCGAAAGCAUGGGUAGCAAACAGGAUUAGAUACCCUGGUAGUCCAUGCCGUAAACGAUGAUUACUAGGUGUUGGAGGAUUGACCCCUUCAGUGCCGCAGUUAACACAAUAAGUAAUCCACCUGGGGAGUACGACCGCAAGGUUGAAACUCAAAGGAAUUGACGGGGGCCCGCACAAGCAGUGGAGUAUGUGGUUUAAUUCGAAGCAACGCGAAGAACCUUACCAGGUCUUGACAUCCGAUGCAUAGUGCAGAGAUGCAUGAAGUCCUUCGGGACAUCGAGACAGGUGGUGCAUGGUUGUCGUCAGCUCGUGUCGUGAGAUGUUGGGUUAAGUCCCGCAACGAGCGCAACCCUUAUUGCCAGUUACUACGUUAAGAGGACUCUGGCGAGACUGCCGUUGACAAAACGGAGGAAGGUGGGGAUGACGUCAAAUCAUCAUGCCCUUUAUGACCUGGGCUACACACGUACUACAAUGGCGUUAAACAAAGAGAAGCAAGACCGCGAGGUGGAGCAAAACUCAAAAACAACGUCUCAGUUCAGAUUGCAGGCUGCAACUCGCCUGCAUGAAGUCGGAAUUGCUAGUAAUCGCGGAUCAGCAUGCCGCGGUGAAUACGUUCCCG
Molecule: ribosomal RNA, 997 nt
Filed under: uncultured organism
Description: bacterial SSU rRNA
Rfam family: Bacterial small subunit ribosomal RNA
Source: RNAcentral